RNAcentral lists this ribosomal RNA (370 nucleotides) under uncultured organism. Its description in RNAcentral is "bacterial SSU rRNA". It matches the Rfam family "Bacterial small subunit ribosomal RNA", at positions 526 to 896 of the family's 1533-position model. The record is from RNAcentral.
CGUAGGGUGCGAGCGUUAAUCGGAAUUACUGGGCGUAAAGCGUGCGCAGGCGGUUAUAUAAGACAGAUGUGAAAUCCCCGGGCUCAACCUGGGACCUGCAUUUGUGACUGUAUAGCUAGAGUACGGUAGAGGGGGGUGGAAUUCCGCGUGUAGCAGUGAAAUGCGUAGAUAUGCGGAGGAACACCGAUGGCGAAGGCAAUCCCCUGGACCUGUACUGACGCUCAUGCACGAAAGCGUGGGGAGCAAACAGGAUUAGAUACCCUGGUAGUCCACGCCCUAAACGAUGUCAACUGGUUGUUGGGUCUUCACUGACUCAGUAACGAAGCUAACGCGUGAAGUUGACCGCCUGGGGAGUACGGCCGCAAGGUUG